GAAGGAGGCUCAGAAGCAAUAAGAACUGCUAAUUCUUACCCCCAUGGUUAAAAUCCACGGCUCUCUCG
Molecule: transfer RNA, 68 nt
Filed under: Gymnotus sylvius
Lineage: Eukaryota; Metazoa; Chordata; Actinopteri; Gymnotiformes; Gymnotidae
Description: tRNA-Ser
Source: RNAcentral